Long non-coding RNA from Homo sapiens (human), 1888 nucleotides. Ensembl annotates it as long intergenic non-protein coding RNA 642. Lineage: Eukaryota; Metazoa; Chordata; Mammalia; Primates; Hominidae. The record is from Ensembl.
AUUGUGACUCGUUUGAGCUCUUAGCCAGGCGUGUAGUCUGGCGGGAGCCGUCGCGGCUGGCUCGGCAGCUCCAGGCUAUUCCGAGGAACAGUCUUCAGAGAGCCUGGGGUGCUGAUGGGGAAAAGCUGUUGCUGAGAUUUGACAAGUUUGGUCCUGAGAUGUCAGAAAGGAUUUCAGCUCUUCUGCCACCCCAAGGACGGUGGCGCGUAAAUCACAGUGAGCUGGCUUAUGUCAGGUCAACUGUGGAAUUUGAUCCUAGCGCAUUGCUCCCUCCUCUUCCUUGCCUGCGUCUCUCCCUCUCUCAGCUCUAGUUUGAGAUCAGCACAGAUUCCCUGGGUGAUUUUUGAGAAAACUGCCUCCUCUUUAGGACUUGGCAUCCCCUAACCUGCAUCAGGAAAGGGUGGCGACAGAUACUCUCACACCCAGGGAGGCUGCAAGGCCCACCCUCUACCCUCCACCUGGGUUCUCUGGCGUCGAGACUUGUGCCCUACAGUUCUGGGCCGUUGGGGUGAUGUCCCAGUGGGACCAGGGUGAGGGUGCAGAGGACAAUGGAGAGAGAGUCAACUCUGAAGAGUGGUCUUGUGGAAGAGGCAGCUGGCUGGUUCAGUGUGGCACUGGCAGCCUCCCUAAGGUUCCCAGGUAGAAGUUUCUGACAGGUAGAUUUCAGCUGUGUUUAAGGAAGAACUUUGAAGUUGUCAGAAUGAGCGGUCUUGUGAUAGUGAGCUCCCUGUCUCCAGAGGCAUGCAAGCAGGACACUUUCACAUAUGCAUUCAAGAUGACCUAUGCAAGGCGUUGUGCUAAGUGCUAGGAGUGCAGAGGAGAACGAGACCCAGUGGGGAAACAGGCACUUGCAAUGCUGCUAAGGACAUGUUGCAGAAGAAAUGCAAGUACAGUGAAGAAUAAGACUGGGGAACUUUUACAAUUCAGAGUGGCCUUCACUGUGGGCGGUCCGAAUUGAUCCCUGUAUACAGGUGCUUCUGGGGUGACAUUUUCCCUGCUCCAUGGAGCUCCGGGAGGAGUGCGGACCAACCCCUUCUUUGCAGGCCUGUCUGUGGGGUGCCACUCCUCCUCCCACCUCCCCACUGCACAGACAGCCCAUCAGUGUCCCUGAGCUGCUCCAGAAGGAUGCAGCUCUGAGGAGGCUCUGGGAGCGGUGUAUCCUAGCAACCUCUGAGGCUGGCAUCUGCAGGGCUAGGCCCAGACUCAAGGCUCUUUCUAAUUUGCCAGCCUUCCCUUAAUGAUAAGCUUUCCCACACGGAUGUGGAGUGGGGAGGAAGAGGGGAGAAGUGGGCAGGAAGUGUUGCCUCCAACCCCAUCACAGAGUAGGUCAAGCCUCGCCCACAAUACUGCCGGGGAUGGGGAAGGAGGGAGGGCACAGUGAGUCCGUUAACUGAAUAUGCCACUUGUCCAUCACCGUGGCCGGUUUAUCACCAUUUAGAGGACAAUGAAUCCAGGCAGUGAUCCACCAAUGAUAACUAACAUCAUAAAAAGAUACAUGGCCGGAUAUGAUGUUCCUUCUGACGGAAGACCACAACACCUGCUGAAAAAUCAAAUCUGAAUCGGAUCAAGCCUCUAGAGGAGGCAGCACCCAGGGUCAUUCCUGGAGCAUAAACGAUCCCUGCAGAACAUGGGCUAGAAGACCCCACAGUGGGGCAGAGGCAGGUCCUGGACUGGGAUCCCAGCAGUGAGAAGACCUGGACAUCAACCCUAUUUCAUUGUGCCUCUGCAAAUCUCCCAACUUUUGGAGCUGUAGCUGCAAGCUCAGACUUGUGGUUUCCUGUACCUGGAGGAGGCCCAGGUCAUUCUGUUAAGUCCCUUGUCUAUUUCCUGCUUUUAUCUGGAUGCUGAGUUAAUUAUUUGAUCCAACAAUAAAACUAACAAGGUUUUA